GGGGCUGAUAUAGCUUUCGACAAUUGGACAUUAACAGGUUGUUUUGCAAGUCGACCAUACACGUUACGUAUAUUUUUAGUUGCAAACACAUUUGCAAGCAAAGUUAAGGACGCUAUUACUAGCUUCGCUAGUAUGUUCCGCGCGCCUGCCUUUGCGUCAGCCGUAGCUUAGCUACAGCCGUCUCUCUGUCCAGGCAACAUAGGGUAGAAGAGGCGUUAUAUCAUGUUGCUCGCUGAUUAUCGUGGGCAGUGGCACGAAAAUCGGGACUUUUACCACGCAACAAAUCGGAUUUUUAUGAUUAUUUUCUAGUCUGAGGAGUUGUCAAAACCUUAAGAUAAUCUAUGCUUGUAGACGAAUAGCCAGUUACCAGUUGGACCCGGGGGCAGUACCCGGCAGCUCCACCA
This 404-nucleotide transfer-messenger RNA is filed under the name Candidatus Saccharimonadota bacterium. It matches the Rfam family "transfer-messenger RNA". Rfam says of the family: Bacterial tmRNA, also known as 10Sa RNA or SsrA, is named for its dual tRNA and mRNA-like properties. Its role is to liberate the mRNA from a stalled ribosome. Lineage: Bacteria; Candidatus Saccharimonadota. The record is from RNAcentral.